UAUGACUCUCGGCAAUGGAUAUCUCGGCUCUUGCAUCGAUGAAGAGCGCAGCGAAAUGCGAUACGUGGUGCGAAUUGCAGAAUCCCGUGAACCAUCGAAUUUUUGAACGCAAGUUGCGCCUUAGGCCAACUGGCCAAGGGCACGUCCGCCUGGGGGUCAAGC
This 162-nucleotide ribosomal RNA is filed under the name Brownleea macroceras. Its description in RNAcentral is "5.8S ribosomal RNA". It matches the Rfam family "5.8S ribosomal RNA". Rfam says of the family: 5.8S ribosomal RNA (5.8S rRNA) is a component of the large subunit of the eukaryotic ribosome. The record is from RNAcentral. Lineage: Eukaryota; Viridiplantae; Streptophyta; Magnoliopsida; Asparagales; Orchidaceae.